Molecule: long non-coding RNA, 200 nt
Filed under: Vigna radiata
Lineage: Eukaryota; Viridiplantae; Streptophyta; Magnoliopsida; Fabales; Fabaceae
Description: long non-coding RNA (VRAD_LNC001783)
Source: RNAcentral
CCCGGGCCAUACAUGACCCUCAAUUCACGCCCGUGCGGCCCCUCUGCGACGCUUGAGCGUGAUUUCACGUGGAUCAAACCCUGUUUCUGCUCUGCUUUGAUUCUUUUGGACCAGGCCGCACUCUGGGACUCCUCUAACACUAUUUAAAGGACUCUGGGACUCUAGGUUUUGCAUCCCUGGCAGAGAAGAGCAUAGCAAUA